RNAcentral lists this unclassified non-coding RNA (344 nucleotides) under soil metagenome. RNAcentral's name for it is "partial contains 5.8S ribosomal RNA, internal transcribed spacer 2, and large subunit ribosomal RNA". The stretch from base 1 to 120 matches the Rfam family "5.8S ribosomal RNA", at positions 35 to 154 of the family's 154-position model. The record is from RNAcentral.
GAUGAAGAACGCAGCGAAAUGCGAUAAGUAAUGUGAAUUGCAGAAUUCAGUGAAUCAUCGAAUCUUUGAACGCACAUUGCGCCCGCCAGUAUUCUGGCGGGCAUGCCUGUUCGAGCGUCAUUUCAACCCUCAAGCCCCCGGGCUUGGUGUUGGGGAUCGGCGUGCCCUCGCGGCGCGCCGUCCCCUAAAUCUAGUGGCGGUCUCGCUGUAGCUUCCUCUGCGUAGUAGCAACACUCGCACUGGAUCGCAGCGCGGCCACGCCGUUAAACCCCCCACUUCUGAAAGUUUGACCUCGGAUCAGGUAGGAAUACCCGCUGAACUUAAGCAUAUCAAUAAGCGGAUGA